This is a long non-coding RNA of Nematostella vectensis (starlet sea anemone), 2482 nucleotides long. RefSeq lists it as uncharacterized. The record is from RefSeq and is a predicted model, not a curated record. NCBI's taxonomy places the organism in Eukaryota, Metazoa, Cnidaria, Anthozoa, Actiniaria, Edwardsiidae. The transcript has 3 exons.
CAGAAAGAAUGUUUCCGAAGACGGUGGCAAUUUGUUUGACGUGAGCUCUUGGAAAAUUGACAUGGCCAUCAGGACCGUAAUGCAUAGCGAGAUCCUCUCCCCAGACUCCGCCGGUAGGAUGAAGUUUACUCGUGUCGUACAUCCACGAGGCGAACUGCAGGUCACAUGACUGCUCGUCAAACGGGAAAUACCGGAUAUCCAUGGGGCAUGCGCUGUGGAACAUGGCGGGAGCAAGCCAUAUCAUUGUGCCAUCCGCCUGCAUCUCAAUCUUCGUCUUGUACUGGAAGCCCCCCGCCAAGUCAUUCUUAGGAUCAGCGCUGUUGAAUGAGAAUACAUUGUGAAGAAAAGCACGAUAUCCGGGACCCACAGUCUGUCGGGCUCCACGUGUAGAGUAUUCACCCCGCCGAACUCGGACGCGUUCCACGAAAGGCUUGGGUUCACCCACUUCUAGAGUAUAAAAGAAAGUCAUGUUAACCUCCUCGAGACUGCCUUCUAACAGUAAGGCAAGUAGUCCAAAACAAACGUAUCUUUGGGAUAAAUACAGUAGAGCCCAGCUAGGGACACUUUGCUUAAAAUGAACUGUCUCCAAGGUCCCUUGCCUAAGAAGGACACCUCAUUAUAAAGAACUGUUUUAAAGGUCCCGAUAAAUAUUUUAAAGGACAAAGGACACGAAGGACACUGCUUAAAAAGAACUGUUUCCAAAGGUCCCUUGCCUAAGAAGGACAUCUCAUUAUAAAGAACUGUUUUAAAGGUCCCGAUAAAUAUUUCAAAGGACAAAGGACGGUAAGGACACUGCUUAAAAUGAACUGUUUCCUAAGGUCCCUUGCCUAAGAAGAACACCUCAUUUAUAAAGAACGGUUUCCAAGGUCCCGAUAAAAACAUAUUCAAAUGGUUUUAGUAAACUUUUAGCCACUUGAUAGAGACAUCAGUCGACGUCUGGCGUUGUGGUCAUAAGAUCCUCUUAAUAGAGUUUUAAGGAUCCCAACGCUGUCCUUAUUAAAUGGGUUUUCACUUUAUGAGGAUAUUGUGUGUCCAAACGGGUCCUUAUUAACAGGGUUCUAAAUGUGUGAUGACACUUUAGUGGGUCAGAACAAUGUCCUUUUCACAUGGGUUUUGUAUGAUGACAGUUAUUUGGGUCCGAACGUUGCCAUAUUAACAACUCUCUGAUGAGAACAGUUUUGUGGGAUCCAAUGAUCAACAGGGUGAUACUGUAUGAAAACACUGUUGAGGGUACCAACAGUGUCCUUAUUAACAGGGUUCAACUACUGUAUUUUUUAUUAUUCUGUUGAUUAUCGCAUUACUCACCUGUUUCAGAUACCAAUGUGCCAGAACCACGUUAUUUUUCUCGUCCUGACAAGAAUUACAACGUUAUUAGUUACGGAACUCUAUAGAUAUUUUAGGGGGAGCGGUAAGGCGGAGACGGUGAGGGGCGGGAAAAGGAACCCUAAAACAUUCCGCGCAAACGAAAUGUAUCCAUACUGUGUAGAAAUUUACGACAAAAGCGCUGCUACACACAAAUGGCGCACUAGUAUCCACUGACAAUAUAGUACUCAAAACUAGAAAACAUCCGGCCCCUAAUUGGUUCGAGUGACUCGAACAGACGAUCUCACCCAAGGUGCCACACUCACCACCGCCGCUAUGCGUCCGAGCUUAGCGCCAAAUGUUACCACCACGGGAUUGUUGCCUCCUGGAUGGAUGUCUCUGUCGUAGUUGGUGAAAAGGUAGCGUAGGAGUAUCUGUUGAUAACUUUGCUCCAUGCGAACGGCGCUUUCUGUGCCUAUGGGUAGAAAACAGCGACGUAUUCGUACCGUGCCUUUUCUAGGAAGUCUUAUAGCCAUAAGCUGCUAAUAAAAUUCGCCUUUGCUAAUGUAUUCUGGCACUGACCCUAAUUCUCAGCUUUCAGCCUCUUGGAAAAAAAUAAGAAACGACGGAAAGGGGGAAGAGGUUGUGAACUGACGCGGUUUCCCAUGGAACUGUACAACCUAUUUGAAAUAAGGUUACACUCGGGGGAUCCUAUGUGCCGUGGCUGUGCAAUAGGGGUAUCAAAUUAAUGAGCGGAUAGGAAUUAAAAAAUUUAGCAUUCUCGUUCAUAUGCCUAAAAACAUCCCCAUGUUUUUGACAGACCAGGAUUCAGCCUUUUGUUAUUAUUCAUUGUAAGUUACCCAUGAACCUAUGCGGGAUACGACAGAUGGAUUAGUGAGUGCCACCGUAUAUGAGAUAGGUGUGUACAAAAUGCCCGUAGCUGUGCCAACAAAUGUUACUUAGUUCUCGGGCUAUAGGCUACCCGGCUACGCCCUUUUAGAAUUCACCAACUGGGGGUCUAUCACAAAUCCUUCUUUCAAAUACGGAGAGUAGCGGGAAAAUGGCGGCUGAAUCGCGAUUUGCCUAAGUUAGCGACGACUCUUAACGGACUUUGUGCUAUCCCAGAAAAAGAAAAAAACAAAACAAAGGCAACCAGAUAUGGAAUGAGGAUUUUCAACGG